GGGGAUAUACCUCAGUGGUAAAGCACUUGCCAAGCUUGUAAGGGUCCUGGGUUCAAACCCCAGUACUGCCA
This 71-nucleotide transfer RNA is filed under the name Ictidomys tridecemlineatus (thirteen-lined ground squirrel). RNAcentral describes it as "Spermophilus tridecemlineatus (thirteen-lined ground squirrel) tRNA". It matches the Rfam family "tRNA". Rfam says of the family: Transfer RNA (tRNA) molecules are approximately 80 nucleotides in length. Their secondary structure includes four short double-helical elements and three loops (D, anti-codon, and T loops). Lineage: Eukaryota; Metazoa; Chordata; Mammalia; Rodentia; Sciuridae. The record is from Rfam by way of RNAcentral.